RNAcentral lists this ribosomal RNA (253 nucleotides) under uncultured bacterium. RNAcentral describes it as "partial 16S ribosomal RNA". It matches the Rfam family "Bacterial small subunit ribosomal RNA", at positions 524 to 776 of the family's 1533-position model. The record is from RNAcentral.
UACGGGGGGGGCAAGCGUUGUUCGGAAUUACUGGGCGUAAAGGGCGCGUAGGCGGCCUGUUAAGUCGAACGUGAAAUCCCCGGGCUCAACCCGGGAACUGCGUCCGAAACUGGCAGGCUCGAAUCCGGGAGAGGGAUGCGGAAUUCCAGGUGUAGCGGUGAAAUGCGUAGAUAUCUGGAGGAACAUCGGUGGCGAAGGCGGCAUCCUGGACCGGUAUUGACGCUGAGGCGCGAAAGCCAGGGGAGCAAACGGG